RNAcentral lists this long non-coding RNA (1515 nucleotides) under Equus caballus (horse). RNAcentral describes it as "lncRNA (ENSECAG00000044979.1)". Lineage: Eukaryota; Metazoa; Chordata; Mammalia; Perissodactyla; Equidae. The record is from RNAcentral.
UUUUUAUAUGGUGGGUUAAAAGAAAUGUACUAUUAAAAUUAAUUUCACCUGUUUAUUUUUUACCUUGUUUAAAAUUGGCUACUAGAAGAUUUUGAAUUGUGUAUAUGACCCUCAUUAUGUUUGCACUAGACAAGGCUGAACUAGAGCCAUAGCAGAGUUGUGAGAAUUCAUGCUACUAUAUAGUAGUUAACACUUAUAUGCUACUUACUCUGAACCAGGCACCAUUCCAUGUACUUUCCGGGUAUUGACUUGAUUCAUCUUCCCAGGAACCCUCUGAGAUAGGUACUAUUAGUCAACGCCUGCAUUCUACGUCCUCUGUCGCUUAUUACUCCAGGCGUCUUGCUUGGAACAUCACAGAGUUUCCAACAGUCUCAUUUUAAAAGAGAGGGGGAGGAAGAAGAGGAAGACAUAUGCAUAGUGGUUAAAAAUCAUACAACAUAACUCAAUAAAACAAAUAACCCCAUUGAAAAAUGGGCUACUGGGGCCAGCUCCAUGGCAUAGUGACUAAGUUCGGCAAGCUCUGCUUUGGCAGCCCAGGUUCACAGGUUCAGAUCCUGGGCAGGGACCUAAGCCACUUGUCAUCCAUACUGUGGUGGCGACCCACAUACAAAAUAGAGGAGAAUUGGCAUAGAUGUUAGCUCAGGGCUAAUCUUCCUCAAGCAAAAGAAGAGAAAGAUUGGCAACAGAUGUUAACGCAGGGUGAGUCUUCCUCAGAAAAGCAAAAAGGGCUACAGAUUUGAAUAGACAUUUUCCAAAGAAUAUACACAAAUGGCCAACAAGUAUAUGAAAAAAUACUCAUCACUAAUCUUCAGGGAAAUGCAAAUCAAAAUCAAAAUGAGAUAUUAUCUCACACCUGUUAGGUUGACUAUUAUCAAAAAGACAAAAGACAGCUAGUGUUGUCAGCCAAGGAUGUGGAGAAAUUGAAACCCUUGCACAUUGUUGGUGGGAAUGAAAACAAUGGUGUAGUCACUAUGGAAAACAGUAUGGAAGUUCCUCACAAAUUAAAAGUAAAAUUACCAUAUGAUUCAGCAAUCCCACGUCUGGGUUUUUAUCCAGAAGAAUUAAAAUCAGGAUCUUGAAGAUAUAUUAGCAUUCCUAUGUUCAUUGCAGCACUAUUCAAUGACCAAGACGUGGACACAACCUAAGCGUCCAUCAACAGAAGAUUGGAUAAAGAAAAUGUGUUUUAUACAUACAAUGGAAUACUGUUUAGCCUUCAAAAAGAAGGAAAUUCUGCUAUAUGCAGAAAUAUGGAUGAACUCUGAGGACAUUAUGUUAAGUGAAAUAAACCAGUCAUAGAAAGACAAAUAUUGUGUGACUCCAUUUAUAUGAGGUAUCUAAAACCGUCAAAUUCAUAGAAUUAAAAGUGAAAGGAAUGGUGGUUGUCAAGGGCAGGGAGGAGGGAGAAAUGGUGAAUUAUUAAUCAAUGGGCAUAAAGUUUCAGUUAAGCAAGACAUGAAUAUGCUCUAGAGAUCUGCUAUACAGCAGCACACCCAUAGUGAACAAUAACAUAUUGUC